This 346-nucleotide long non-coding RNA is filed under the name Hordeum vulgare. Its description in RNAcentral is "long non-coding RNA (HVUL_LNC003664)". Lineage: Eukaryota; Viridiplantae; Streptophyta; Magnoliopsida; Poales; Poaceae. The record is from RNAcentral.
UCUUCUUGCUUCUUCUCUUCUUGAUUCUUCUCUUUCUUCUUCUACGUAGGUUAUUUGCCCCAACAAAGACAUACUUAGCUAAUUAUCGUCCAAAAUGACAUAAUUAGCAUAGGUAGGUAAAAACAUCAUAAGAACCUUGGUUAGCUCAUUAAAAUGACUAAUUUAGCUCCAAAAUGACAUAAUAAGGUCAAAAUGGAUUAAUAAUCAUAGUUGGCUACAAAAUGACAUAUUUUAUCCAAGUUAGCUCUAGAAUGACCAAUACUUAGCUAAGUUCUCUCCUCAAUGACAUAAUAAGGCUAUGUAGCUCCAAGAUGACCUAUUCCACAUAACUUAGCUAUUAAAUGGC